CCUACGGGUGGCAGCAGUCGAGAAUCAUUCACAAUGGGGGAAACCCUGAUGGUGCGACGCCGCGUGGGGGAAUGAAGGUCUUCGGAUUGUAAACCCCUGUCAUGUGGGAGCAAAUUAAAAAGAUAGUACCACAAGAGGAAGAGACGGCUAACUCUGUGCCAGCAGCCGCGGUAAUACAGAGGUCUCAAGCGUUGUUCGGAAUCACUGGGCGUAAGGCGUGCGUAGGCUGUUUCGUAAGUCGUGUGUGAAAGGCGCGGGCUCAACCCGCGGACGGCACAUGAUACUGCGAGACUAGAGUAAUGGAGGGGGAACCGGAAUUCUCGGUGGAGCAGUGAAAUGCGUAGAUAUCGAGAGGAACACUCGUGGCGAAGGCGGGUGCCUGGACAUUAACUGACGCUGAGGCACGAAGGCCAGGGGAGCGAAAGGGAUUAGAUACCCCUGUAGUC
This 446-nucleotide ribosomal RNA is filed under the name uncultured bacterium. RNAcentral's name for it is "partial 16S ribosomal RNA". It matches the Rfam family "Bacterial small subunit ribosomal RNA", at positions 338 to 795 of the family's 1533-position model. The record is from RNAcentral.